GCCGCUAUGGUGAAAUUGGUAGACACGCUGCUCUUAGGAAGCAGUGCGAUAGCAUCUCGGUUCGAGUCCGAGUGGCGGCA
RNAcentral lists this transfer RNA (80 nucleotides) under Cerastium glomeratum. RNAcentral's name for it is "tRNA-Leu". It matches the Rfam family "tRNA". Rfam says of the family: Transfer RNA (tRNA) molecules are approximately 80 nucleotides in length. Their secondary structure includes four short double-helical elements and three loops (D, anti-codon, and T loops). Lineage: Eukaryota; Viridiplantae; Streptophyta; Magnoliopsida; Caryophyllales; Caryophyllaceae. RNAcentral also lists the same sequence under 46 other names. The record is from RNAcentral.